Molecule: ribosomal RNA, 500 nt
Filed under: uncultured bacterium
Lineage: Bacteria
Description: partial 16S ribosomal RNA
Rfam family: Bacterial small subunit ribosomal RNA
Source: RNAcentral
AUUGAACGCUGGCGGAAUGCCCUACACAUGCAAGUCGAACGGCAGCACGGACCUCGGUCUGGUGGCGAGUGGCGAACGGGUGAGUAAUGUAUCGGAACGUGCCCAGUCGCGGGGGAUAACGUAGUGAAAAUUACGCUAAUACCGCAUACGAUCUAUGGAUGAAAGCGGGGGAUCGCAAGACCUCGCGCGAUUGGAGCGGCCGAUAUCAGAUUAGGUAGUUGGUGGGGUAAAGGCCCACCAAGCCAACGAUCUGUAGCUGGUCUGAGAGGACGACCAGCCACACUGGAACUGAGACACGGUCCAGACUCCUACGGGAGGCAGCAGUGGGGAAUUUUGGACAAUGGGCGAAAGCCUGAUCCAGCCAUUCCGCGUGCAGGAUGAAGGCCCUCGGGUUGUAAACUGCUUUUGUACAGAACGAAAAGGUUUCUACUAAUACUAGGAGCUCAUGACGGUACUGUAAGAAUAAGCACCGGCUAACUACGUGCCAGCAGCCGCCGUAA